CGGGAAUUUUACAGUGCUGGCAUAUUGUUUGGGCCGUAAUUUCAUCUGGUGCUUAUUGUCCACCCUGCUCAGUUAGAUAGCAUAGCUGAGCAGGACCCAAGAGGAGAGAGAAUUGAAGCUGACUGUGGCAUUGGGGCUAAUGCAAUUAAUGUCCUGACUGUUUCAGCAGCUUUUGGGGCCACAAUAGAGAGGCAUUCAGAAAAUCCCCGAAGAAAUAAUGUGGCCUACUCUCUGACUCCUGGAGGAUAUAGAAGAGAAUUUAGGAGCCAACAUGGAGGAAGUAGCUCCAUGAAGGAAAAGCCCUCAUAACAGCUUCUGCCAUUGUGAUCCUCAACUCAAGGAAUAGCCUCACCUCCCAGCCAAGCUGAAAGUUCUGGAAAUCACCUUACACCUGUCCCCAACCUCUGUUACAUAUGGUGCACAUCUGAUCAUCACCAACAUUCACUCAACAGGUACUUAUUGAGGGUCUGCUGCAUACCUGGCACUCUGCCAGGUGGGAUGAUGAAGUGAUCUCUUGCUUGUAGAGGAGAGGGUGUGUGUGCUUAGUCUCUGAGUCAUGUCCAGCUCUUUGUGAUCCCAUGGACUGUAGCCUGCCAGGCUUCUCUGUCCAUGGGAUUCUCCAGGCAAGAAUACUGGAGUGGGCCCUCCUCCAGGGGAAUCUUCCCAACCCAGGGAUUGAACCCAGGUCUCCUGUAUUGCAGGCAUAUAC
RNAcentral lists this long non-coding RNA (709 nucleotides) under Capra hircus (goat). RNAcentral's name for it is "lncRNA (ENSCHIG00000002827.1)". The record is from RNAcentral. Lineage: Eukaryota; Metazoa; Chordata; Mammalia; Artiodactyla; Bovidae.